AAAUUGAAGAGUUUGAUCAUGGCUCAGAUUGAACGCUGGCGGCAGGCCUAACACAUGCAAGUCGAACGGUAACAGAAAGCAGCUUGCUGCUUUGCUGACGAGUGGCGGACGGGUGAGUAAUGUCUGGGAAACUGCCUGAUGGAGGGGGAUAACUACUGGAAACGGUAGCUAAUACCGCAUAAUGUCGCAAGACCAAAGAGGGGGACCUUCGGGCCUCUUGCCAUCGGAUGUGCCCAGAUGGGAUUAGCUAGUAGGUGGGGUAACGGCUCACCUAGGCGACGAUCCCUAGCUGGUCUGAGAGGAUGACCAGCCACACUGGAACUGAGACACGGUCCAGACUCCUACGGGAGGCAGCAGUGGGGAAUAUUGCACAAUGGGCGCAAGCCUGAUGCAGCCAUGCCGCGUGUAUGAAGAAGGCCUUCGGGUUGUAAAGUACUUU
Molecule: ribosomal RNA, 439 nt
Filed under: Escherichia coli
Lineage: Bacteria; Pseudomonadati; Pseudomonadota; Gammaproteobacteria; Enterobacterales; Enterobacteriaceae
Description: bacterial SSU rRNA
Rfam family: Bacterial small subunit ribosomal RNA
Source: RNAcentral